RNAcentral lists this ribosomal RNA (404 nucleotides) under uncultured bacterium. RNAcentral describes it as "bacterial SSU rRNA". It matches the Rfam family "Bacterial small subunit ribosomal RNA", at positions 355 to 776 of the family's 1533-position model. The record is from RNAcentral.
UGGGGAAUAUUGCACAAUGGGGGAAACCCUGAUGCAGCGACGCCGCGUGAAGGAAGAAGUAUUUCGGUAUGUAAACUUCUAUCAGCAGGGAAGAAAAUGACGGUACCUGACUAAGAAGUCCCGGCUAACUACGAUCCAGCAACCGCGGUAAUACGUAGGGGUCAAGCGUUAUCCGGAUUUACUGGGUGUAAAGGGAGCGUAGACGGUGAUGCAAGUCUGGAGUGAAAGCCCGGGGCUCAACCCCGGGACUGCUUUGGAAACUGUGGGACUGGAGUGUCGGAGAGGCAGGCGGAAUUCCUAGUGUAGCGGUGAAAUGCGUAGAUAUUAGGAGGAACACCAGUGGCGAAGGCGGCCUGCUGGACGAUGACUGACGUUGAGGCUCGAAAGCGUGGGGAGCAAACAGG